This 421-nucleotide ribosomal RNA is filed under the name uncultured bacterium. RNAcentral describes it as "bacterial SSU rRNA". It matches the Rfam family "Bacterial small subunit ribosomal RNA", at positions 355 to 773 of the family's 1533-position model. The record is from RNAcentral.
UGAGGAAUAUUGGUCAAUGGACGAGAGUCUGAACCAGCCAAAUCGCGUGAAGGAAGACUGCCCUACGGGUUGUAAACUUCUUUUGUACAGGAAUAAAAGACAUUACGUGUAAUGUAUUGCAUGUACUGUACGAAUAAGCAUCGGCUAACUCCGUGCCAGCAGCCGCGGUAAUACGGAGGAUGCGAGCGUUAUCCGGAUUUAUUGGGUUUAAAGGGUGCGCAGGCGGGAUUUUAAGUCAGCGGUGAAAUUUUCAGGCUCAACCUGAACACAGCCGUUGAAACUGGGAUUCUUGAGUAUUGAUGAAGUAGGCGGAAUUCGUUGUGUAGCGGUGACAUGCUUAGAUAUAACGAGGAACUCCGAUUGCGUAGGCAGCUUACUAAGCCAUAACUGACGCUCAAGCACGAAAGCGUGGGGAUCAAAC